Molecule: ribosomal RNA, 864 nt
Filed under: uncultured archaeon
Lineage: Archaea
Description: SSU rRNA
Rfam family: Archaeal small subunit ribosomal RNA
Source: RNAcentral
AACCAGCACCUCAAGUGGUCAGGAUGAUUAUUGGGCCUAAAGCAUCCGUAGCCGGCUCUGUAAGUUUUCGGUUAAAUCUGUACGCUUAACGUACAGGCUGCCGGGAAUACUGCAGAGCUAGGUAGUGGGAGAGGUAGACGGUACUCGGUAGGAAGGGGUAAAAUCCUUUGAUCUAUUGAUGACCACCUGUGGCGAAGGCGGUCUACCAGAACACGUACGACGGUGAGGGAUGAAAGCUGGGGGAGCAAACCGGAUUAGAUACCCGGGUAGUCCCAGCUGUAAACUAUGCAAACUCAGUGAUGCAUUGGCUUGUGGCCAAUGCAGUGCUGCAGGGAAGCCGUUAAGUUUGCCGCCUGGGAAGUACGUACGCAAGUAUGAAACUUAAAGGAAUUGGCGGGGGAGCACCACAAGGGGUGAAGCCUGCGGUUCAAUUGGAGUCAACGCCAGAAAUCUUACCCGGAGAGACAGCAGAAUGAAGGUCAAGCUGAAGACUUUACCAGACAAGCUGAGAGGUGGUGCAUGGCCGUCGCCAGCUCGCGCCGUGAGAUGUCCUGUUAAGUCAGGUAACGAGCGAGAUCCCUGCCUCUAGUUGCCACCAUUACUCUCAGGAGUAGUGGGGCGAAUUAGCGGGACCGCCGCAGUUAAUGCGGAGGAAGGAAGGGGCCACGGCAGGUCAGUAUGCCCCGAAACUCUGGGGCCACACGCGGGCUGCAAUGGUAACGACAAUGGGUUUCGAAUUCGAAAGGAUGAGGUAAUCCUCAAACGUUACCACAGUUAUGACUGAGGGCUGCAACUCGCCCUCACGAAUAUGGAAUCCCUAGUAACUGCGUGUCACUAUCGCGCGGUGAAUACGUCCCUGCUCCU